Molecule: ribosomal RNA, 1819 nt
Filed under: Escherichia coli
Lineage: Bacteria; Pseudomonadati; Pseudomonadota; Gammaproteobacteria; Enterobacterales; Enterobacteriaceae
Description: partial 23S ribosomal RNA
Rfam family: Bacterial large subunit ribosomal RNA
Source: RNAcentral
CGGGACACGUGGUAUCCUGUCUGAAUAUGGGGGGACCAUCCUCCAAGGCUAAAUACUCCUGACUGACCGAUAGUGAACCAGUACCGUGAGGGAAAGGCGAAAAGAACCCCGGCGAGGGGAGUGAAAAAGAACCUGAAACCGUGUACGUACAAGCAGUGGGAGCACGCUUAGGCGUGUGACUGCGUACCUUUUGUAUAAUGGGUCAGCGACUUAUAUUCUGUAGCAAGGUUAACCGAAUAGGGGAGCCGAAGGGAAACCGAGUCUUAACUGGGCGUUAAGUUGCAGGGUAUAGACCCGAAACCCGGUGAUCUAGCCAUGGGCAGGUUGAAGGUUGGGUAACACUAACUGGAGGACCGAACCGACUAAUGUUGAAAAAUUAGCGGAUGACUUGUGGCUGGGGGUGAAAGGCCAAUCAAACCGGGAGAUAGCUGGUUCUCCCCGAAAGCUAUUUAGGUAGCGCCUCGUGAAUUCAUCUCCGGGGGUAGAGCACUGUUUCGGCAAGGGGGUCAUCCCGACUUACCAACCCGAUGCAAACUGCGAAUACCGGAGAAUGUUAUCACGGGAGACACACGGCGGGUGCUAACGUCCGUCGUGAAGAGGGAAACAACCCAGACCGCCAGCUAAGGUCCCAAAGUCAUGGUUAAGUGGGAAACGAUGUGGGAAGGCCCAGACAGCCAGGAUGUUGGCUUAGAAGCAGCCAUCAUUUAAAGAAAGCGUAAUAGCUCACUGGUCGAGUCGGCCUGCGCGGAAGAUGUAACGGGGCUAAACCAUGCACCGAAGCUGCGGCAGCGACGCUGAUGCGUUGUUGGGUAGGGGAGCGUUCUGUAAGCCUGCGAAGGUGUGCUGUGAGGCAUGCUGGAGGUAUCAGAAGUGCGAAUGCUGACAUAAGUAACGAUAAAGCGGGUGAAAAGCCCGCUCGCCGGAAGACCAAGGGUUCCUGUCCAACGUUAAUCGGGGCAGGGUGAGUCGACCCCUAAGGCGAGGCCGAAAGGCGUAGUCGAUGGGAAACAGGUUAAUAUUCCUGUACUUGGUGUUACUGCGAAGGGGGGACGGAGAAGGCUAUGUUGGCCGGGCGACGGUUGUCCCGGUUUAAGCGUGUAGGCUGGUUUUCCAGGCAAAUCCGGAAAAUCAAGGCUGAGGCGUGAUGACGAGGCACUACGGUGCUGAAGCAACAAAUGCCCUGCUUCCAGGAAAAGCCUCUAAGCAUCAGGUAACAUCAAAUCGUACCCCAAACCGACACAGGUGGUCAGGUAGAGAAUACCAAGGCGCUUGAGAGAACUCGGGUGAAGGAACUAGGCAAAAUGGUGCCGUAACUUCGGGAGAAGGCACGCUGAUAUGUAGGUGAAGCGACUUGCUCGUGGAGCUGAAAUCAGUCGAAGAUACCAGCUGGCUGCAACUGUUUAUUAAAAACACAGCACUGUGCAAACACGAAAGUGGACGUAUACGGUGUGACGCCUGCCCGGUGCCGGAAGGUUAAUUGAUGGGGUUAGCGCAAGCGAAGCUCUUGAUCGAAGCCCCGGUAAACGGCGGCCGUAACUAUAACGGUCCUAAGGUAGCGAAAUUCCUUGUCGGGUAAGUUCCGACCUGCACGAAUGGCGUAAUGAUGGCCAGGCUGUCUCCACCCGAGACUCAGUGAAAUUGAACUCGCUGUGAAGAUGCAGUGUACCCGCGGCAAGACGGAAAGACCCCGUGAACCUUUACUAUAGCUUGACACUGAACAUUGAGCCUUGAUGUGUAGGAUAGGUGGGAGGCUUUGAAGUGUGGACGCCAGUCUGCAUGGAGCCGACCUUGAAAUACCACCCUUUAAUGUUUGAUGUUC